GAUCCCAGCUUGAUAAUGCCUAAGAAAGCUCUGAAACUCUUGCUGAGCUGGUUGAAAUAGAUAAGCCUAAAAUAGAUUCUCUACAGGCAGUUACAGAAACUUGAAUCUGGAAUAUUGAUCAGACAGUGUGCAGGAGCCAAGUUUACAGAGAAGGAGGAGGAGAAGGAGAAGGAGAAGGAGAAGGAGAAGGAGAAGGAGAAGGAGAAGGAGAAGGAGAAGGAGAAGGAGAAGGAGAAGGAGAAGGAGAAGGAGAAGGAGAAGGAGAAGAAGGUAUCUUGGUACUUCUUGGUACCUUACCAGUUUUUUGCCUACCCUCCCUACUAGUUUGUAUUGCUGCUGCAGUCACUCUCUUCCAUUGGUGGCCUGAAAGUUCUCAUGACAUUUUUACAGGUUUUGAGCAGAAUCCUGCAAAAAUAGAAGGAGAUCAGAGUGGUUUGUCGUCAGCAACUAGGAUGCUGCAGGGCUUGCUGGGGGUACAGCAAGUCAGGCUGCCCCCUACUUACCAAAGCUGGUGUCUGGUUGCAAGGCAAGAAAAAAAAUGCAGAUAACGAAGAAAAUGUAACUGCACCUUAAAACUGAUAUUUGCCAGUAUCUGUGUCUCAUUUUGAAAUUCAAUGCUCUCUUAUGGAGAAAUGAGAAAGCUGCAAGGCAGAGUCUUUCUGUGGGGGCACUGUUGUAUGUGCUGGGUUAAAAGCUGAGGGACAGGGGAAGCACUCGCUUGCAUGGGUACAGCAGAGCAUAGUGCCAGCUCCCUGCUGCUGGCCUUACCUCUCACCACUGGCAGAAAGGGAGCUGACACAAGAGUAGGCACAAAUGCAUUAUGUUAAAGGACAAAGCAACAUGUACUUCUAUUGUUUAAACAAAAGUUUGAAUAUAUUCUGCUCAUGUCUCAAUGUGGCAGGUUUUUGCAAUUAAAAUCUCCUUUGGGAGAUUAACUUUACACUCUGUGUUAGGAAUCAAAAGCAUAAAAACAUAACAUGGAUGCACCUGAAUAAGACAGAAAUUAAUCAAAAGUUAACAGAAAACAGAAUGGAUUUUAAGUAGUAUUUUAAUCCACUUCUACUCCAUGACUACAUCUUUUGUAGGGUUGGUUUGACAGCACAGAAUAAUAAAGGCACAGUACUUUUUAGAAAAAGUACA
Molecule: long non-coding RNA, 1140 nt
Filed under: Cyanistes caeruleus (blue tit)
Lineage: Eukaryota; Metazoa; Chordata; Aves; Passeriformes; Paridae
Description: lncRNA (ENSCCEG00000005476.1)
Source: RNAcentral